GAUGAACGCUGGCGGCGUGCCUAAUACAUGCAAGUCGAGCGAACAGACGAGGAGCUUGCUCCUCUGACGUUAGCGGCGGACGGGUGAGUAACACGUGGAUAACCUACCUAUAAGACUGGGAUAACUUCGGGAAACCGGAGCUAAUACCGGAUAAUAUAUUGAACCGCAUGGUUCAAUAGUGAAAGACGGUUUUGCUGUCACUUAUAGAUGGAUCCGCGCCGCAUUAGCUAGUUGGUAAGGUAACGGCUUACCAAGGCGACGAUGCGUAGCCGACCUGAGAGGGUGAUCGGCCACACUGGAACUGAGAUACGGUCCAGACUCCUACGGGAGGCAGCAGUAGGGAAUCUUCCGCAAUGGGCGAAAGCCUGACGGAGCAACGCCGCUUGAGUGAUGAAGGUCUUCGGAUCGUAAAACUCUGUUAUUAGGGAAGAACAAAUGUGUAAGUAACUAUGCACGUCUUGACGGUACCUAAUCAGAAAGCCACGGCUAACUACGUG
Molecule: ribosomal RNA, 497 nt
Filed under: uncultured bacterium
Lineage: Bacteria
Description: partial 16S ribosomal RNA
Rfam family: Bacterial small subunit ribosomal RNA
Source: RNAcentral